RNAcentral lists this long non-coding RNA (8446 nucleotides) under Malus domestica (apple). RNAcentral's name for it is "long non-coding RNA (MDOM_LNC009420)". Lineage: Eukaryota; Viridiplantae; Streptophyta; Magnoliopsida; Rosales; Rosaceae. The record is from RNAcentral.
CCUUUGGGCAGCUCGCAGAGACGCAGGAACCAAAGCUGCCUUAGGCAGAGGAAAAACGGAAAGACUGGCGGGGAGAGAGAGGGAGACACUUGCGAAACCAGAGGGGAGAGCUGGAAGGCAGGCGCACGGACAGAAUAAGAAAAUAAGAAGGGAAGAACGCUGCCCUUUGGCAGUGAGGUCAGGGAGAGCUGGAAGGCAGGCGCACGGACAGACUGAAGCAUCCUCCUCUUUCGGUUAAAUCUUUCCAAACUUCUAUUUUAUUUCUGUUUUAAUAAUGUGUAAAUAAACUUAUUUUGGCUAGAGGUUAAUUCAAAGCCAUGAAUAUAUUUGUAAUAUGAAUUGAUUACCUUAAGUUGUGAUUUAUAAGUUGUGAAUUCAAUUUACUUAUCCGUUCGUAUAAAAACUGAUUUGUGUAUGUUGGUUGAGAGUGCACGCUUAAUUUUCAUGCAUGAAUUUGAUGCUAGAAUAUAAGGGAGUUUCACCUAAUCGUUAUGAACUUAUAUUCACAAGUAGUGAAGGUUGCUAGUCAUAAUCACGUUAAGUAAAUUCUUGGCAUAAGUUUCAUGCAAAUCAUAGUAACGAGUGUCUCGUCAAUGCUUAUGUUUUUCAUAGAACUUAAUGAUUCUCGCUUGUAUCUCUAUUAUGCAACUCAUGUAGGGAACUUGUAGGGAAUGUUUUGGGUUGUCGUAUGCAAUCAUCCAACCCAAUAACUUGUGGAAAAACUGAGGGUUAAUUAGUGCAAUUCACGGUUAAUUUGGGGCAUUGAGUAUUAAUAGCUUAUCAAAAAGCAACUGAAAAUCAAUUCAUGUUCAAGUGUGUCAUGUGUGAAGAAUGGAUCUCUAGCUAAUCCAUCAACCAUAUAUUUAGUUUUACUUUUUAUCUCAAUCACAACCAAAACCAAUACCCCCCAUUUAUUUUCUUGUAUCAAAGUGUGCUUAAGUUUGUUUUGAACUAUUUGAGUCUAGUUUAGUGUUUUAAAGCCUACUUUUGUGUUUUUAAGUUUCUUCUUAUAUUUUUGAGUCAAGUGAGAGGUUAUUAGCAAGCCCUCCUAAUCCCCGGCCUAGAACGAUACCCUACUUACAUCUAUACUACAAUUGUCAAAAGAGGGUUUAAUUUGAGUGUGCUUAUAUUUCACGCAUCAAAUUUUGAUGCGAGAAUUUUACUUGACACACAAAUUAAACCCUCUUUUUGACAAUUGUAGUAUAGAUGUAAGUAGGGUAUCGUUCUAGGCCGGGGAUUAGGAGGGAUUGCUAAUCUAUUCUAAAUUAAUUUAAAAAUAUUAAACAAGACUCAAGGACACAAACUAGGCUAAAAACUCUAAUAACUCGAAACACACUUAAAAUGACUCAAAAUAAUGAAAACAAUUAAAUUAAACACUAGGAACUGAAAUGGACGGAAAUUAAAUUAAAAGACUAACAAUAAAGAAAACUAAAUAAAUAAUAUAAUUUAAUAAUGGAUGGGUGUUUGGUUUUGAUGAAAAAUAAAUUAAACUUAAUUAAAUUACAGAAUUGACAAAAACAUGAAAUUAAGGUGAAAUGAUAAAUGACGGACUAGCUAGAGGGUUCUUCUCCACACAUGACACAUAUGCAACCUAAAUUGAUUUUCAGUUGUUCUUUCAAUAAAUUAUUAAUUCUCAAUGCCCCAAGAUAAUUAGGUACGCUUAAAUUAACCCUCAGUUUUUCCACAAGUUAUUGGGUUGGAUGAUUGCAUACGACAACCCAAAACAUUCCCUACAAGUUCCCUACAUGAGUUGCAUAAUAGAGAUACAAGCAAGAAUCAAUAAGUUCUAUGAAAAACAUAAGCAUUGACGAGACACUCGUUACUAUGAUUUGCAUGAAACUUAUGCCAAGAAUUUACUUAACGUGAUUGUGACUAGCAACCUUCACUACUUAUGAAUAUAAGUUCAUAACGAUUAGGUGAAAUUCCCUUAUAUUCUAGCGUCAAAUUCAUGCAUGUAAAUUAAGCGUGCACUCUCAACCAACAUACACAAAUCAGUUUUUAUACGAACAGAUAAGUAAAUUGAAAUCACAACUUAUGAAAUCACAACCGAAGGUAAUCAAUUCAUAUUACAAAUAUAAAUCAUGGCUUUGAAUUAACCUCUAGCCAAAAUAAAAUUAAUUACACAUUAUUAAAACAAAAAUAAAAUAGGAGUUUGGAAAGAUUAAACCGAAAGAAAGGAUCUGCUGCUUGGACUCUGAACUGCAUGGACUCUGAACUGCAUUUUCAUGCUGAUCUCCUGUCCUCUCUACGUCUGCGAGCUGCCCUCCUUCUUUCUGUUUUCCUGUGCUGUCUGACCUCGCUGCCAAAGGGCAGCUUCCCCCUUCCCUUCUCUCCGCAGCUUCACGCUGCCCAAAGGGCAGCCCUCUGCCUUCCACCAAAAUUCCCCUUCCACGAGGCUAAUGCCUCUCACCCUCUUCUUCUCCUCCGUCCGCCAGGCCCUCCUCUUCUAUAUUAUUUCUCCCUCUCCUGACUCUUCCAGCUGCCCAAGGGCAGCUUUUCCUUUCUUCUUGUGCGCUGUCCCCCUUUUCUUCUUUACGUUUUACGCUGCCAAAGGCAGCAUCUCUGACAUACUAUUCGCCUGCCCUCCCACUUCUCUCUAUUCUUUAUUAUUUUUCUUUUCUCCACACUACUGCUGUCCGUCCCUUUUUUUAUUCCCUUAUUCUCUUAUUUCCUUGGAUCCCGCUGCCCACCAGUCCUCCCUAGCUGUCUUCUGGUCCAAUCCCACGUUUUUCACUCCUUUUGCCGCUGUUCCUUUCUUUUUUAUAUUUUUGUUUUCUUUUCUUUUUUUUUCUUCAAAGCUUUUCAAAGCUGCCCACAGGCAGCCCGUCUCCCCCAAUUUCCUUUCUAUCUUUUAUUUUAUUUUUUUUUUCUUUUCUUUUCUUUAUUCUUUCUACAAAACAUAACAAAUCCUGUAAACACAAAAAUAACGUAAAUAGCUCAAAAAUAUAAGGAACUAACUAAGAAAAGACGGGUAAAUUUGAAGUAAAAAUAUAUAUAAAUAUGAUCCGAUCAAAUACCCCCACACUUAACUUUUGCUAGUCCUCGAGCAAAACAAAGAAAACUAGAACAAGCAGUAACAAAAAAAAAAAAAAAAAUAUAUAUAUAUAUAUAUAUAUAUAUAUAUAUAUAUUAGCUUCCCCCUAUGUGACCCUCAUAGAAUUUCAUUCGAGAAAACAAAUCAUCAAGAACCAUGGCUAGCACCAAACAAAUUAAUCCAAGUUCAUCUUCCUUAUUCAAAUAUUAGCAGUAAUCUUUGAAUCAUCCUUGAAGUGUAGUGUGUGAGAUAGCCAUGCUUAUGCAAUUUCAAGUUUUUAUUUUUAAAAUCAUCAUAUGCAAACUAGCGACCUUCUCACUGGAUAUGCACUCAAUCACACAUGUGUUUAGUUUUAAUGUGUUUCGCUCAAAGAAUCAAAUGUGAAAUUUCUACCAUAAGCUUGCAUAAAGAUCACUUCUCCACAGUCAUAAUUGCAAAACUUAAAUCAAGAGGACUUUUAUUGGAUGUAAUGAGGCUUAGGGAUAGGGUUAUUGAAAUGAAAGAAUAGGAAAACACAAGUUCCAAGCUACAUUGCAAGCAAUUCUUUUGUCUAGAUUUAUAAGAACUCAAGCUCUCCAACGAUCUUCUGAAACCUCCAAUCACACCCUUAAACUGAAACUUUAAAAACUUUUUAUUUUCUUUUUAUACAAUUUUUUUUUUUCUUUUUUUUCUUUUUUUUUUUUUUAAAUCACAAACAUGAAAUACCCCCACACUUAUUCUUUUGCCAAACAUCUUCACAAUACUUCACAAACGUUUCUCAUAAGACAAUCUCGCAUUGCUCGCUUGGAAAGGGUAAGGAAAAAUGUUUCAGGUAUAAGGGUAGACAUAUCUGGUGAUAAGAAAUAAAAAGGCUCAACAUACACGGCUCAAAUUGGCAAUCUAAUGAUAUCAUUUUUAUUUGGGAAACAUGGUUAUUUGGGCCAUAGUGAUAAACCUAAUGCCUCUAUCAUUUCCAAGUUCAUGCAAUCAAUGACAAACAUUUCGAAAGAUCGUUACGCAAGUUCUAGAGAUGUAUCUCACAUAAGUUCAUCACACAUGAAAGAAUAGGAGUGUAUGAAAAAUGCACACACUUUCAAUAGGCUCAAAGAACUCACAUCGGAUGUAUAUGGUCACUAAAUUCACAUAUGAAGCUUUAAGUCAUACUUUAGUUUCACAUUAACAAGGCUAUGUGCAUUUGGUUUUUCAAAGAUGAUCAAACAUGUACAAAACUAACAAGAGAAUUAGGAAUUUCACAAAACACAUGUUAACUAAGUUCUUGAUAAUCAUGAUUCAAAUUUGAUCUAAUUAUAUCAUUGGGUCGGGAAACUAACAAAAAUCUAAUUCAAAACAAUAAGGGAAACAAGACAAUAUUUUUGGAUUUUUAAAUUUUCCGAAUUUUUUUUUUUUUUUUUUUUUUUUUUAAAGAAAACAAAAAGCAACAACACAGAAACACAACACAGAAACAAAUGAAAUUCUGGAGAUUUCUACCCCCACACUUAAACUUGACAUUGUCCCCAAUGUCAGAAAACACUAUAAUGCAAAUAAAAAUAAAAUAAAAUAAAUAAAUAAAUAAGAAACAAAAUAACGCAAUUGGACUGAAAACUUCCCUAAUUUGCAGUAAAAUCAAGCGAUGACCCCCAAGCUAAAAUUCUGCAAUCAACUUCAAGGGUGGAAAUAACCAAAAGUUCCUGCAAAGAAAAGAAAUAAUUCAGUUAAGUACGCAAGAAAAUUAAUUAAAAAAAAAAUUGCAAACGAAAAAUUGAAAAUUACGAUAAAAGAUAAUGAAUAAAACUAAUAAGUGAUCAUUGGUCGUGCUUGUUGACUUUCCACAGCUUUCCUCUUGAACAGGGUGACACUUAGCUUUUCACUUGCAAGUGAUGAUUUUAUGCUAUUGUACUGCGAGGCUUUGCUCUUUGGCUAAGGUGCCCUCCAAAUGUUGUUGAAGCUUCUCGAGUUCUUCAACUCGGACUCCUUGUGCUGGUUUGAUUGUACGAGCUGCAUUCUUCUCUGCUUGUUUCCUCUGCAUGGCGGGCAGGCACAAGGUAGCUGUUUUGGUCUGAUUCUUUCUUCAAUCUUUCCAAGUGCCCACCUCUUGCUUUCUUUCUCCUUCCCUAGCUGAGGAUGAAUUGGCAAAUUGUCUCCCCAUGCUUCGAGGUCUCAUUUUCACCUCCCUUACUUGUCCCCCAAGUAGAUGUGGUAGACAAAACGGAAGCAUAAGAUGGCAAAUUGUCUCCCCAUGCUUCGAGGUCUCAUUUUCACCUCCCUUACUUGUCCCCCAAGUAGAUGUGGUAGACAAAACGGAAGCAUAAGAUGAAGAAGAGAGGCAGCAAAGCCAUAGACAUCUCUAGAAUUUCAUUUGUUUCUGUAUUGUUGCUUUUUGUUGUAUUUAAAAAAAAAAAAAAAAAAAAAAAAAAAAAAAAAAAAAAAAAAAGAUAUAUAGAAGAGAGGGCAGAGAGCAGUGGGGAGGAGGUGAUUUUGGGGGGGGGGGGGGGAAUUGGUGGAAGGCAGAGGGCUGCCCUUUGGGCAGCGUGAAGCUGCGGAGAGGAAAGAGGAGCAGACAGCUGCCUUGCUGCAGCAGAAAACCGAGGAGGACUCGGACUGGGUGAGACGAGAGGAGAAGUCAGAGCAGCGUGGGAGCCAGAAGCUGACGUGGAGGUCAGGAAGAAGGCAGAACGAAGGAGGUCAGCGCACAGGAAGCAGAAACACUCUCGCUCUCGGUUAAAUCUUUCCAAACUUCUAUUUUAUUUCUGUUUUAAUAAUGUGUAAUUAAAUUUUAUUUUGGCUAGAGGUUAAUUCAAAACCAUGAAUAUAUUUGUAAUAUGAAUUGAUUACCUUCGGUUGUGAUUUCAUAAGUUGUGAUUUCAAUUUACUUAUCCGUUCGUAUAAAAACUGAUUUGUGUAUGUUGGUUGAGAGUGCACGCUUAAUUUACAUGCAUGAAUUUGAUGCUAGAAUAUAAGUGAAUUUCACCUAAUCGUUAUGAACUUAUUUUCACAAGUAGUAAAGGUUGCUAGUCACAAUCACGUUAAGUAAAUUCUUGGCAAGAGUAUCAUGCUUUUCAUAGUUACGAAUGCCUCGUCAAUGCUUAUAGUUUUCACAAAGUUUAAUGAUAUUUGAUUGUAUCUCUAUUGUGCUUUUCACGUAGGGGACUUUUGAAGAAUGUUUUGAAUUGUUGUAUGCGUUUUUCCCGUCCAAUUCAAUAACUUAAGGAAAACUUGAAGAUUAAAAAAGUGCUGUUCACGGUUAAUCUGGAGUAUUGAAAUUCACAAUUUAUUAAAUGAACAACUGGAAAUCAUUUUGUAUGCAAGUAUAACAUGUGUGGAGAAGAACCCUCUAGCUAGUCCGUCAUUUAUCAUUUUACCUUAAUUUCAUGUUUUUGUCAAUUCUGUAAUUUAAUUAAGUUUAAUUUACUUUUCAUCAAAACCAAACACCCAUCCAUUAUUAAAUUAUAUUAUUUAUUUAGUUUUCUUUAUUGUUAGUCUUUUAAUUUAAUUUCCAUCCAUUUCAGUUCCUAGUGUUUAAUUUAAUUGUUUUCAUUAUUUUGAGUCAUUUUAAGUGUAUUUCGAGUUAUUAGAGUUUUUAGCCUAGUUUUGUGUCCUUGAGUCUUGUUUAAUAUUUUUAAUAGAUUAGCAAUCCCUCCUAAUCCCCGGCCUAGAACGAUACCCUACUUACAUCUAUACUACAAUUGUCAAAAAGAGGGUUUAAUUUUGUGUGUUAACUUAUUUUUCACAUCAAAUUUUGUAUUUGAUCGGAUCAUAUUUAUAUAUAUUUUUACUUCGAAUUCACUCGUCUUUUCUUAGUUAGUUCCUUAUAUUUUUAAGCUAUUUACGUUAUUUUUGUGUUUAUAGGAUUUGUUAUGCAAAGAAAAUAAAAAUAGAACAAGUGAAAUUUUAUGUAAUAAAUUCGUCAAAACUGUCUGUGUAGAUUAGCUUUUAAAUAAAAAUAGGAAAUUAUUAGAUCCCAUAAUUUUAGUUUAUAUUUUUUUGCUGAAUUGGACCCUAUGUCCAAAAUAAAUCUACGACCCUCCUAGGUGGUGGAGACCUGAUUAUUAUUUAAUGGUGCUAAGUACUUAGCCAAAGAAGGUUAUUAAAGAUUCAUACUUUUUGGUGGAGUUUGGUAAAACCAGGUGUAAAGAUGGAAAGUAUUUGAGACUUGAGUGAGGAGAGAAAUGGCAGACAAAACAUAGCACGCAAGAAAGGAAGAUAAGUGGAACGAAAAGAAUGAAUAAAAGAGGCAAAGAAGAAAGACAUGCACACGGAAUAAUAAUAUAAGAAGCAUGGGAUGGAAGUGGAACAAAAAGCAGGAGAGGGAGUGAGGAGUGACGGGAUAAAAGCAAAGAAUGGCAGACAAGAAUAAAAGAAGAAGUCAGGAGUGCAGUUAGGGAGAGACUGUGCGGAAAAAGAGGGCGCGGGGAGAGCAGUGCGCACGGAUUAAAAGCAGAGGAGUACAACGUAUAAUAAAAGAAGAGUCGGGGGGAGCGGGAGAAAGGGGCUGCCCUUUGGGCAGCUCGCAGAGACGCAGGAACCAAAGCUGCCUUAGGCAGAGGAAAAACGGAAAGACUGGCGGGGAGAGAGAGGGAGACACUUGCGAAACCAGAGGGGAGAGCUGGAAGGCAGGCGCACGGACAGAAUAAGAAAAUAAGAAGGGAAGAACGCUGCCCUUUGGCAGUGAGGUCAGGGAGAGCUGGAAGGCAGGCGCACGGACAGACUGAAGCAUCCUCCUCUUUCGGUUAAAUCUUUCCAAACUUCUAUUUUAUUUCUGUUUUAAUAAUGUGUAAAUAAACUUAUUUUGGCUAGAGGUUAAUUCAAAGCCAUGAAUAUAUUUGUAAUAUGAAUUGAUUACCUUAAGUUGUGAUUUAUAAGUUGUGAAUUCAAUUUACUUAUCCGUUCGUAUAAAAACUGAUUUGUGUAUGUUGGUUGAGAGUGCACGCUUAAUUUUCAUGCAUGAAUUUGAUGCUAGAAUAUAAGGGAGUUUCACCUAAUCGUUAUGAACUUAUAUUCACAAGUAGUGAAGGUUGCUAGUCAUAAUCACGUUAAGUAAAUUCUUGGCAUAAGUUUCAUGCAAAUCAUAGUAACGAGUGUCUCGUCAAUGCUUAUGUUUUUCAUAGAACUUAAUGAUUCUCGCUUGUAUCUCUAUUAUGCAACUCAUGUAGGGAACUUGUAGGGAAUGUUUUGGGUUGUCGUAUGCAAUCAUCCAACCCAAUAACUUGUGGAAAAACUGAGGGUUAAUUAGUGCAAUUCACGGUUAAUUUUGGGCGUUGAGUAUUCAUAGCUUAUCGAAAAGCAACUGGAAAUCAUUUUGUAUGCAAGUAUAACAUGUGUGGAGAAGAACCCUCUAGCUAGUCCGUCAUUUAUCAUUUUACCUUAAUUUUAUAUUUUUGUCAAUUCUGUAAUUUAAUUAAGUUUAAUUUACUUUUCAUCAAAACCAAACACCCA